This is a long non-coding RNA of Lynx canadensis (Canada lynx), 5211 nucleotides long. RefSeq lists it as uncharacterized. The record is from RefSeq and is a predicted model, not a curated record. NCBI's taxonomy places the organism in Eukaryota, Metazoa, Chordata, Mammalia, Carnivora, Felidae. The transcript has 2 exons.
UAGGGUGUCCUCAGUGCACGGCAACGUGGCCUGGGCUGGCCAGGGGGUGUGGCUCACUCGACCAGCCCAGGCAGAGAUUCACAUCUUCCCCCCCCGGACCCCACCAACAUCUUUUGAGUCCUACUGUGUCCGUGGACGUUCCUGGGAGGCUACGAAGGAUACAGCAAGCCGUGCCCAUAAUCCGCAGUGGGGGGGGGGGGGCAGACCCAGAAGGAGAGCUCUCUUUGCCAAGUCUGUGUAUUUUAUUCUCACCGGGUCGUCUUUACUAUCUUGCCAUGGGCCUGGCCACCCUGGAGGCAUUUCACCUGCUACGUUUAUGAACGUUGUAACCUAAUAGGACACUUCCCAAUGGGGCCGCUCUGCCUGGGCACCGGCUCCCGAUUCCAAAGCACGGGUCAAGCUGUGGAUAUUAAAACGUGACUUCCAGACCUUCGAGGCCUCGUCUCAACAAACUCAACACACGCUAAGCCCCCAGGCCCCGGUUCCGGGCGAGGCCGAGCUUCUGGAGUAUGGAAAAACCACGCAUUUGCCCAGAAGAGACGUGGGAAUCUCGGGGUUCGGAAAAAGUACUCCUGUAAAUACAAGGUCAAAAUCCAGCCCCGGAUCAUCUGAGCCUCACCAGUGCACUGACUCAGAGCGGCAGGGCUGGCUCAGCAUCAGCACAGGCCACGUCCCCUCCCGGCCCAGCCUACUCUCUGUGGCCUCCAGCGUGAACCCGGGAGGGUCGCCCAGGGAGAGCACUGCCCACAGGGACACGGCUGCUUUGCCCUUCCACCCUGCUCCCAGGCCCGUGGUCCCUCCGGUCAGGGGCAUGUUCCCGGGGCCACGCGCCCAGGGGGAGGGAAAGAUGGCGUCUCGACUAGAUUUGCCAGACGUGUGCCCUGGACCCUCCUGUCCUGUGUCCCCAAGAGCGGGCGGGGCCGCCCUGUGCAGCAGCCGGAACGCAAUCGAGCCAAACCCGCUGCGGGCGCCGGGGUCUGACGGCCGCGGCAAUGGCGUGCGGCCGCAGGGGCGAGUGUGGGGAAGGCCACUUCUCACACGGAAAUGAGGUCACUGCAGCUGCAAACGCCCUCCGUGGGUCACCCGGUCCCUUUCCUUGUCUCCACGUACAAUUACAUGCCAACCUCUUCAGAGGAAACCCAGCUGCCACUGACUCCAGGUGGGCUCCACUCCGCUGGGGGCUCGGGGACAGCUGCAGGGGCCCUGCCGUCUAGACAUUUACACCCUCCAACCGCAGAGCUACCCAAGUCCCCACCGACACCUGCCGCUACGUCCUGCGGCUGCCGCUUAGGACGAGACUUUCUUACCCCUCUGGGGUGGACGGGCGACACCGGAUGGCUGGUCGACCUGGCUGGAGCUCCUUGAAGGUAAUGAGCGUGUCUAAAGCCUGGCUGAGGGUAGCCUGGCCCCGGGACACGCCCUGGAGGGGGCCCCUCCAUCCCACCUUCAAGGCCAGAGUUGGGAAAGUGAGGGGGUGCCCCCCGUCCAGCAUCUAAGCCCAGUGGUAACAGCUGUGGCGUUGCCCCACAAAAGCUGUAACAAAAUUACUAGGUUUUUGGGGCCCCCGAUUGCCGUGGGAUUCCCUAACUGCUUGCAUGUGACUAAAGCACUUCCGGUGGCUGGUGGGGGGGCACAGGAAAGACGGUUGUGAACCCCUCCAGUGGGACUGCAUCUGCAUGGCGAGCAGGGUGGGCGGACCUCACCAGCUGCACGGUGGGGGACAGGGCAGACAGUGACCCAGAAAGGGAACCGUGCUCGCGUGGGCUGCAGGCCUGCUCAGACCCCCCGGGGCUUGAGGCCAUGCCCCUCCCCCCAGAACUGCACCACGAGGAAGCGGGGUGUGGUCAGACAGCCUGGGAGAGGCCACAAGGACAUCGAUUGCUGGCUCAGCACCCAGGAGCGUCCACCCCACCUGCCCCUCCGGUCUCACUGUGUGCCCACCCCCCAGCUUUGUAGGUGCCCCUCGGUGGACACGGUGGUGAGGGCUUUCCCCAAACACCUGGCUCUGCCUUCCCUGGUGUCAGUGCCCGGCCGCUCUCGGUCGGCAGUGCAGCAGACUUCCUCCAAGGCCAAGUCUUUUAGGGAACUGAGAAGGGGGAAGAGGCAUCAUUUCACAAUUAAAGGCCUCCCCGUGGUGCCAGGAGGCAACCAGGGGCUUCCUCCACUGAGCAGCAGGCGCUGGGAGACCAGAUGGCACCUUCGGGUCCCUGCAAGCCUCCUCAUCCUGGGGUGGGGGUGGGGGGGUGCUGACAUCCCCAGCUCUGGGGCAGGGCUGUGCCUAUCCAGGGUGAGGGCAAGGCUUGGCCGGCGGGACUCAGGCCGGUGCUGGAGAUGCCUGCGCUCACGACCCCCAGGAGCAGAUGCGUCUAUGGGGGCCGACGCGUCGGGGAGGGUGACGGGCUGCACGAGAGAGCACAGGAACCAGCAGUGUGGGCCCAGCCCCGGGCCAUUUGAGAUUCUAGCACAUUCGCUUGAGCUGCUGUCCACUGGAUGCCCUGUCUCCAUGGAGACCAGCACUCCCACCUCCACGGCCCCCUCGGGAGCAGGAGGGAGCCGUCUCUAAGAGCUCAUCAGCUGCGCAGAGAAGAGCCUCGGCCCUCGCUGCUCGGCCGCCCUCCCCCCGCAACCCCCCCCGGACCCUGGCAGGCCCCUGAGUUGCGCCCCGCCACCCUUCCUUCUCCUUGUGAGCCCAGCGGGAUCUCAUGCCAGAGGCCUUGGUCACGGUUCCCGAAGCCUUGGGCUCAGGCCGUUCCCAUUCACGUGCUGCUGAAUCACUUGAAAAAAAUGCAUCCCGAUCCUGGGAGGAUUUGCUGAGAACAGUGCGGCUUUGUGGAAGGGACUGCUGCUUUGCACUUUCUCCGCCAAGACCCCGAGGAGCAGCCAAGCUCAGCCCCGCAAACCCCAGGCCUGGAGCCCGCAGCGGGGGGCAGCCGCUGGACGGGGCGGGGCAGGAGGCAGAGGGAGCCCAGGGAGGCGCGGAGGGAGCAUCUGGCCACCCCCCUGCAAUCCCUCCCCAUGCGCAGGCUGAGGAAGGGGCACGGAGGGGCUGGGGGCUGGGGCGUCCUCACACUGCCCCUGGCAGGCCGGGACCCCGGGCCAGGCUCUGCUCCGGGCUGCCCCACUUUCAGGGGUGAAGGCAGAGGGCUGGGCCCGGGGCUCAGGCCCAUCGGCACGGCAGCACCCGCCCCCCUCCCCCGCCUCGAGUAGGGCUGAGGCAUGCGGUCCGCGCGCUGACCCCAGCCCACGGCAUUUCUCAGGCAGAGACAGGGAUCCCAGGGCCUACGCUCCCAGCUUCCAACGUGGGAGAGGACCCAGCAGGUCUGUCCGGUCCUCACAGCCGUCUCCCGCAUGCCUGGGACGCGGCCCGGACCGUCACAGGCACCGCGGAGGCAGGCCACACUAACACGUCAACUCCCUACCACGUUACAUUUCCCGCUCGUCUGAAGAACUACUACAGGGCAGAGAGGGUCCCCCGGGGCCCCAAGUUUUAAAAAAUCUUACUUUUCCCCAUUAUUCUACAUUCCUGGGGUUCUGGAUAUUAUCAUGCACCCGCGACCCUGCCCCUGGCUGGGCGGGGGCAGGGACGGUAUGAGGACCCUCAGAGCAGCACACACAGAAGGCAGGGUCACAGCCAAAGCCAACGAUGCCUGCCGGUGCGGCAAGAGUAGGAGGGGGGUCACGCCAUCACGGGGUGAACCGCCGUUCCCGUCUCUUGUCCCGGCACUGCAGGUCUGCACCUGUCCCGCGGGCAGCGGACCUCAGCCGCGCACACGUGCUGCUCUCCUUCUCCAACCCCCCUGGGCCACACCAGACCGGCCACGGAGGCCUUCCCGAGUCCCUGUAGUCUGGGGGCGAGGACUCAGACGGGACUGCCAGGAAGCGACCAGAUGGCAAAGGUUCCAGUAAACGCGGGAGGAGAUGGAAACAGGGAGGCUGCCUCAAAAUAUGCGGGCAGGAGCAUCAAACCCACGGAAAGUUCUAGAAAGUACAGUGUUCGGAGAGGGAGGACCCAAGAAACGCUUCAGGAGAACGAAGGGGCACAGAGUCAUCCGGGAGUCAGGAGUCCUCACUGCUUCUUGGCAUGCCCCGUGGGAACCUGCCAGGAGUCCCACACUCUUCCAGGUGGCUCUGUCCCAGGGCAUCUGGCACCGCAGUCCAGCUCAAGUGUAGCUGAGGAGGGGCAGUUCCUCACCUAAAACACACGGGCCACAAAUACUACCUUCGAAAGUAGAAACAAAAUCACCCUCUCCAAGGCAGGCUCGUCCAUUCACUAGACCGGGGCUUCCAGCUGUCAGAAGACCUCGUUACUCAAUGUUUGCGUCCUGUUGUGGCCAUGGCUUUAAACCUGGGGAUCUCACAGCACCCUCUCCGACCACGGAGAAGCUUCAGGAACAGGCAGGAGCUCCAGGUACCUCAUCUUGAAAUGCGCAACACUGGGCAACGCAAAGCCAACACCCCUCCCGGCCCGGGGCUUCGUUCUUAACGGUACUGGGCUUAGAUCAGAUCGUCGAGUUGGCUUUGCAGUCCUGACCCAUGACAUUCCAGAACCAGGGGACAAAACGAUCACACAUUUUCUCCACCUAAAGCGGAAAAGCCAGACCGGCGACAGAGUCCGAGGAGAUGCUUUCAAUGAGACGAAAACGCGCGGCAACAGAAGCCUCCUCACCGGAGAUACUGAAGAUUCGAAAACAACCCAAAAAACUCAGUGGGGUGUUGUUACUGCCCCAUCCAGGUGGCGUAUUUGGGGGUUCUGUGAGCCCAAUGCUCUCCAGGGAAGCCCAGUUCAGCUUUCUCAUGUGACUGGGUCACCCCACAUCUCCCUGGGCACACCCCACAGGAUGAGGGACAGGCGACAAACCCCAAGUUCACAGGCAUGUAGCUAAGAAGGCACAGCAGCCACGAAACGGAAGUAGCACACAGGCAGAAGCCGGUUUUGAGCAAAUAUUCCAGCCUUGGGCUCACAACCGUUCAUGACGUCAUCCGUUAGGAAAUGCACAUUAAAAGGGAAAAGGCCAUUCAUGGGCCAGUGAUACAAAUGCAUCACGACCGAAGACGGAUGAUUCCACUCCGCGCACCUGAGGUCCUGGGGAGGGAGGGGGGACGCAAGCACGUCCUUCAUACGCCGGUCCAGGGUCACCUAACUAUGGCUUGAGGUCCCAAUCCACACCCACACCCCUCCUUUUUGUAAAUAAAGUCUCACCGGAACCCGGC